Molecule: ribosomal RNA, 497 nt
Filed under: uncultured bacterium
Lineage: Bacteria
Description: partial 16S ribosomal RNA
Rfam family: Bacterial small subunit ribosomal RNA
Source: RNAcentral
GAUGAACGCUGGCGGCGUGCCUAAUACAUGCAAGUCGAGCGAACAGACGAGGAGCUUGCUCCUCUAACGUUAGCGGCGGACGGGUGAGUAACACGUGGAAAACCUACCUAUAAGACGGGGAAAACUUCGGGAAACCGGAGCUAAUACCGGAUAAUAUAUUGAACCGCAUGGUUCAAUAGUGAAAGACGGUUUUGCUGUAACUUAUAGAUGGAUCCGCGCCGCAUUAGCUAGUUGGUAAGGUAACAGCUUACCAAGGCAACGAUGCGUAGCCGACCUGAGAGGGUGAUCGGCCACACUGGAACUGAGACACGGUCCAGACUCCUACGGGAGGCAGCAGUAGGGAAUCUUCCGCAAUGGGCGAAAGCCUGACGGAGCAACGCCGCGUGAGUGAUGAAGGUCUUCGGAUCGUAAAACUCUGUUAUUAGGGAAGAACAAAUGUGUAAGUAACUAUGCACGUCUUGACGGUACCUAAUCAGAAAGCCACGGCUAACUACGUG